GAUGAACGCUGGCGGCGUGCCUAAUACAUGCAAGUCGAGCGAACGGACGAGAAGCUUGCUUUUCUGAUGUUAGCGGCGGACGGGUGAGUAACACGUGGAUCACCUACCUAUAAGACUGGGAUAACUUCGGGAAACCGGAGCUAAUACCGGAUAAUAUUUUGAACCGCAUGGUUCAAAAGUGAAAGACGGUCUUUCUGUCACUUAUAGAUGGAUCCGCGCUGCAUUAGCUAGUUGGUAAGGUAACGGCUUACCAAGGCAACGAUGCAUAGCCGACCUGAUAGGGUGAUCGGCCACACUGGAACUGAGACACGGUCCAGACGCCUACGGGAGGCAGCAGUAGGGAAUCUGCCGCAAUGGGCGAGAGCCUGACGGAGCAACGCCGCGUGAGUGAUGAAGGUCUUCGGAUCGUAAAACUCUGUUAUUAGGGAAGAACAUAUGUGUAAGUAACUGUGCACAUCUUGACGGUACCUAAUCAGAAAGCCACGGCCAACUACGUG
This 497-nucleotide ribosomal RNA is filed under the name uncultured bacterium. RNAcentral describes it as "partial 16S ribosomal RNA". It matches the Rfam family "Bacterial small subunit ribosomal RNA", at positions 28 to 507 of the family's 1533-position model. The record is from RNAcentral.